AAAGGUAUACGUAUAAAGGGUAUUUUAAUUUUAUUGCACCUUGCUGAAAUCGAUGUUUUAUAUACUUCGGUGUCAGGUGGUAUCAAGCUUGAUCAUGAAAUCUUUGAAAGUAUAAACACCAUUCUUGCAUGUGUGUGAACUUACACGCAAACUCACCCAAGGUGCCAGGUACAAUGAUUUUUCACCAACCAGUUCAACGCCGUCUUCUUGACUAUUAUUGGGAGUUUGGGACAUAUUCAGUACUGAAAUCUAGAUGAGUUCACAUCCAGGUUUUUCUUUCAGGUUGCUUUGUAUGUGUUGACUUCUACCCAGCUGCUGAGAUGAACUUCGAUCCAAGACGUUUCAACUUUUUAUAAAGAUGGUUCAAAUAUAUUUUCCCAAAAAGGUCGUCUACCAUCUUCUGCUAUGCAUGCAUUAGUAGUCGUCGU
RNAcentral lists this long non-coding RNA (428 nucleotides) under Triticum aestivum (bread wheat). RNAcentral's name for it is "long non-coding RNA (TAES_LNC002259)". The record is from RNAcentral. Lineage: Eukaryota; Viridiplantae; Streptophyta; Magnoliopsida; Poales; Poaceae.